RNAcentral lists this ribosomal RNA (253 nucleotides) under uncultured bacterium. RNAcentral's name for it is "partial 16S ribosomal RNA". It matches the Rfam family "Bacterial small subunit ribosomal RNA", at positions 524 to 776 of the family's 1533-position model. The record is from RNAcentral.
UACAGAGGGUGCGAGCGUUGUCCGGAAUCACUGGGCGUAAAGGGCGCGUAGGCGGUUUUGUAAGUCGGGGGUGAAAUGCUGCGGCUCAACCGCAGCGCUGCCUUCGAGACUGCAAGACUGGAGCACGGUAGAGGCGGAUGGAAUUCCCGGUGUAGAGGUGGAAUGCGUAGAGAUCGGGAAGAACACCAAUGGCGAAGGCAGUCCGCUGGGCCGUUGCUGACGCUGAGGCGCGACAGCGUGGGGAGCAAACAGG